GCCUAACACAUGCAAGUCGAGCGGUAGCACAGAGAGCUUGCUCUCGGGUGACGAGCGGCGGACGGGUGAGUAAUGUCUGGGAAACUGCCUGAUGGAGGGGGAUAACUACUGGAAACGGUAGCUAAUACCGCAUAAUGUCGCAAGACCAAAGUGGGGGACCUUCGGGCCUCAUGCCAUCAGAUGUGCCCAGAUGGGAUUAGCUAGUAGGUGGGGUAACGGCUCACCUAGGCGACGAUCCCUAGCUGGUCUGAGAGGAUGACCAGCCACACUGGAACUGAGACACGGUCCAAACUCCUACGGGAGGCAGCAGUGGGGAAUAUUGCACAAUGGGCGCAAGCCUGAUGCAGCCAUGCCGCGUGUAUGAAGAAGGCCUUCGGGUUGUAAAGUACUUUCAGCGGGGAGGAAGGCGAUAAGGUUAAUAACCUUGUCGAUUGACGUUACCCGCAGAAGAAGCACCGGCUAACUCCGUGCCAGCAGCCGCGGUAAUACGGAGGGUGCAAGCGUUAAUCGGAAUUACUGGGCGUAAAGCGCACGCAGGCGGUCUGUCAAGUCGGAUGUGAAAUCCCCGGGCUCCGCCUGGGAACUGCCUUGCAAACUGGCAGGCUAAAGUCUUGUAGAGGGAGGUAGAAUUCCAGGUGUAGCGGUGAAAUGCGUAGAGGUCUGGAGGAAUACCGGUGGCGAAGGCGGCCCCCUGGACAAAGACUGACGCUCAGGUGCGAAAGCGUGGGGAGCAAACAGGAUUAGAUACCCUGGUAGUCCACGCCGUAAACGAUGUCGAUUUGGAGGUUGUGCCCUUGAGGCGUGGCUUCCGGAGCUAACGCGUUAAAUCGACCGCCUGGGGAGUACGGCCGCAAGGUUAAAACUCAAAUGAAUUGACGGGGGCCCGCACAAGCGGUGGAGCAUGUGGUUUAAUUCGAUGCAACGCGAAGAACCUCACCUGGUCUUGACAUCCACAGAACUUAGCAGAGAUGCUUUGGUGCCUUCGGGAACUGUGAGACAGGUGCUGCAUGGCUGUCGUCAGCUCGUGUUGUGAAAUGUUGGGUUAAGUCCCGCAACGAGCGCAACCCUUAUCCUUUGUUGCCAGCGGUUAGGCCGGGAACUCAAAGGAGACUGCCAGUGAUAAACUGGAGGAAGGUGGGGAUGACGUCAAGUCAUCAUGGCCCUUACGACCAGGGCUACACACGUGCUACAAUGGCAUAUACAAAGAGAAGCGACCUCGCGAGAGCAAGCGGACCUCAUAAAGUAUGUCGUAGUCCGGAUUGGAGUCUGCAACUCGACUCCAUGAAGUCGGAAUCGCUAGUAAUCGUAGAUCAGAAUGCUACGGUGAAUACGUUCCCGGGCCUUGUACACACCGCCCGUCACACCAUGGGAGUGGGUUGCAAAAGAAGUAGGUAGCUUAACCUUCGGGAGGGCGCUUACCACUUUGUGAUUCAUGACUGGGGUGAAGU
Molecule: ribosomal RNA, 1448 nt
Filed under: uncultured organism
Description: SSU rRNA
Rfam family: Bacterial small subunit ribosomal RNA
Source: RNAcentral